CACCUCCGACCGAGUUGUGACGUUUGGAAGGUAAAAUUGCUAGUGGAGAAAUUCUAUAUCCUUAUUCGCACGACUCGCCUGCUAAGGAAUAUUUGUCAUAGUAACGAGGAUUACGACUGGACGUACGAGGCAUUUCCCUACCAGUAGCACUCUAUCACCCACUUGUGUGACAUCUUGUAAUAGUCUUUCCUUUUUGUAAAACUGGUUUUAGUCUGUGUCUGGUUCACUCUAGACAUUUUCUUGAAUGUUGUUAAUUAAUUCUAAACUCUGAUGUUAUUCAUGAAUAUUUUCUUCUAAUCAUUGCUCUUGUAAUCAAUUAAUGGCUUUCGUCACCUUGGGUGUCGGCCAGCACACGUGUCUAUCCUGAUAUUCGAAAGAAUAUCAGGGUCGGGGCGUGUCAGAUUGGUAUCAGAGCAUGGUUAGGGUUUCUUUCCACCAAUUUGGUAAAUUUCAGUCUUUCUAAAUAUUGUUGU
This is a non-coding RNA of Malus domestica (apple), 473 nucleotides long. The record is from RefSeq and is a predicted model, not a curated record. NCBI's taxonomy places the organism in Eukaryota, Viridiplantae, Streptophyta, Magnoliopsida, Rosales, Rosaceae.